AUGAGGCUCCCUGUGCGUCCUGCAGCUCCUCUCUCCGUCCUCCUGCUCCACGUUUUGGCGGAGGCGGCGGCCUCGGCAGGCUCUGUGUCCCCGAGCCGGCUGGAGCGUUGGGUCCGCUCGGGCCUCCAGUCCCUGCAGUGGGACCAGCUGGACCGGUGCCUCCGCAUGUCCUCGCUCUCCGAGGCCGAGUGCAGGCAGCUCGCCCACCUGCCGCCGUCCGCCGUGGCUGUGUACGUGUCGGAGCCUCGCUCUGCUGCAGGUAACCCGGACAAAGUGCUGGCCAUCCUGCCGGACUCCUCCGGCGGGACGGUGAGCUCCAAAGCGCGGGCAGGUUUCAGCGUCAGCCAGGUCCUGAACGGAGGGGACGGUCCCCGCAGACACCAGCAGGCCUUUCCCAGCUCCACGGCCCACGAUGCCGUGCUGGUGCUGGAUCCGAGCCCUGGGGAGAACUUCGGACACCCGGUGGUCCUCUUCUACGUGGACGUGAACGUAACGAAGAAGAGGUGCACCCACCUGGAUGGCAUUUACCUGGGUGACGAGUGUUUGACUCUGGCCUUAAAGGGCCGUUGUCAGAACCAGAUGAAACGUCGGCAACCCGGGCCAGAGAGGCUCAUGGGCAACGGACACAGCCGGGUGGCGGCUGGGGCGCCGCGCGGCGGGACCAUCGUCACCAGUGGAGGCGGCCGUGUGGUGGAGCAAGCCGUUGGCGGGCUGUGCGAAGUCCACUUCCUCCCGCUGGUGGUCGGAGUCGGAGACAGCAACCGGACACAGAGACUCAGAUGUGUUGAUCACGCAGAGUUUGCCAGGUGCCCCCAGCCUCUGCCGAUGGGAUCUCCCAGUCUGCCUGUUUCCAGCUGCGAGCUGAAUAAAAACACCAGGCGCUGCCACCAGCAGCCGCUGGCCACUCACCUGUCCUGCCGGCUGUACCAGACCUGCGACCACGCCGUCCUCAUCUCAGGCGGCUGGCAGCAACAGAUGACGUUUCAGUACCACGUUCAGAACCUUCAGAGGUUUUACCGAAUGCUGCGGAACAACGGUUUCCAUAAAGACCACAUCAAGACCUUCUUCGCCAGCAGCGGACAACUCCCUGGCGACAUCGAGGGCGUCUACUCUGCGACGGAGAAAGCUGUGAUCCGUAACCACGUGUCGUACGUCUGCAGGAAGCAGCACUGCGCCGAUACGUUGGUUCUCUACCUGAACUCCCCGACGCGCAACGACGGCACCAUGCUGCUGUGGGACGCCAACCUCAACGGCAUCGCCGACCUGAAGGAGCGAUACUCGGUCAACGAGCUGUUGGCCGACCUGGCGGGCUGCAGGGCCACCCGUGUUCUGCUGUUUGUUGACCAGAGCUACAGCGGCGUUCUGUCCAAGAGGCUGCGCGGGUCCCAAAAACACCCCAACGUGGUCCUGAUCCAGAGCCCACCCCGGCAGGCCCACAACCACCAGAACCAGAGGCCGAACCCGGGCUCGGAGGACAGCGGCUGGUCCCUCAUCGGCCCUGCGGUCUGCCUGCUGGACCACCUGGGGAAGGGCGCGGGGACAUCUCGCCUCCCGGAGCCGUGGGCCGGCCUUUUAAACGUGACCCUGGCGGGCGCUCCCUGCAACGCCACGCCGCCCCUGACGGACGGAGAGAUGCGGCGGGAGUACCACGGCUGCCAGAACCUGCCGACGGCGCUCUGGCACCAGAAACACAGGAGGAGCAACUGAGGGAGAGAGACACUGACACUGACCAGGAGAGAGAGAGAGAGAGAGAGAUACUGAGAAAGCAUUAAUCAUGGACACAGACACACAAACACACACACUUUUACACAAGUGUUUGCAUCACACACACACACACACGUGCAUAUUUCUGGGAGUGUGUUGGUGUAGGACUUAGCUGCAGUGUGCUCGGCAGACAACGAUGCGCUGCUCGCUUUGUGUCCUGACUCUGAACUCGAGACUGUAACCAUGACGAUGACAGCUCAUCCCAAUGGGAGUGUCCUGAACACCAUGUGAACAGUGUGUGCGUGUGUGAGUUCAGCAAAAGGACAACCACUCUUGGAGACAAUUACUAGCUCACACUCGGGUCGGUGUGUGUCUGUGUGUGUUUGUACACCACAUCUCCUGGGCACGUUAACAUUUCAGAGCCAAUCACCCGCCUCUGUUUUAAUCUUUACGACAGUUAUUUCUUCCUCCUGUUUCCUCUCAUCUCCUUUGUUUCUUUGUUUCUCCCAAACUGCCUCCAUCCUUUUCCAUAUUCCUCUUAAUUCCCUUCUUCUUCUUUUUGUUUUUUUAAAUGUUUGACCUUUUCCUCAACCCCGUCCUCCAUCAUUUUCACUUUAGCUCUUUCUACCUGUUGUCUCUGUUUCUGUCUCCCCCAUUUCUAACCACAAUAAACCGUUGAAUACUGAACGACAGAGUCACAGAGGAGCAGAAACUGGACCUGAAGUCCGAGGCAGAGAGUGAGCUCUGAAGCUCAGUAUUAAGAAUGUUUAGAGAAAAUUGUGAAAGACACAAAUUGGACUGGAGGUCUCUAAACCAACAGCGUGUCCGUCCAUCGUCCAUUUUCGUCCUUUCCUCAGUCAGCCGGGCGUCACAGUUUUCAGCAAACAUUACUCAACACAAGGCCGAAUGAUGCAUUUGUGGGAACUACUUUCAGCCGAGGAUGAACACGCCGUAUUUUGUGUGUGUGUGCUGAUUCAGCAUAAACUGCGGCGCCCGUAAUGGUUUUAAUCUGUGCUGGUGACGUGCGCUCAUGAGAUAUUAUUGUUAGCUUAGAGAAAAAUAAGAAUGCUCCAACCUCCGUUAGAGAAAAUGAGACUGAUUUGAUAAGAUGGACAGACGUCUUCCGUCUCCAACGCCCACGUCGGACAGAUAAAGUGUAAACCGCAAAUGACUCGUUGGCGGUGAUCAUGAUUAAGAUAUGAAGCACGGAGACAUUUUCAUAAAGGCACAACUGUGCAUGUGUGUGUGCGUGCACAUGAAUCAUGCACACGUUCUAAUAUUAACCCUACACUAACAACGUAUGUGCAGUCUUUUGCUGGUACACUGUGAUUUUUGUGCGUGUGCAUUACUUCCUGUCUUCUUCCACCCCAACACACACACAGACACACACACACACACACACACACACACACACACACACCCCACCCGCCCGCCCCAGCUCUGUUUUGUAUUGAUGUUUGCUGUUGUACUGACUUUCCUAUAGAGAUUCAUUUACUCAAGUGCUGGAGGAUGAUCAGAAGGACGACCUUCCAAAAGACAUGGACGCUUUGGACCAGAACUGUCCAACCAACAGGUUGACGUGUGCAUAUUCACAGUUUGUGUAAUGAGCUGUACAGAAUACGAGAUGUAAUUUAGCAGAAAAUGUUUCUAGUUGCAUGCAGCAUCACAAAAUCUAGUCAAUAAAAGUACUUUUAGAAAGCAGAGAGCAGAUUUAUUGGUCUGGUUUCCAGCUCGGCGGUGAGGAGUCAAAGUUAUUACCAAUUUCUACAAUCUGCACAGGCCGAGGAACCACUUUUCCCAAAAUCUUCAUGUUAUGGUGCACAAAUUGCUCACAACAUCCUGUUUGUAAAGGUAGAGACAUUUGGUUUAAUCGAAAUGACAUUUUAAACUUGCCAUCCUUUUUUCUGUCCGGCUUUCCUGUUUCAUCGAGACAAAAAGGGCCAAAAAAAUAAAAUGACAGUAAAUCAUCAUGCACUUGGAAUCUUUCACUGAUAAUUCUGUUAAAAACAUUUUUAAACGUGACAACCUGUAAACGCUAUUUAUGGCCAAUGCAAAAUAUAAACCACGUGUCUGAUUGUUGGCCACCUUUAAUAUUCCCCCAGAGACACAAAGUCAGAAAUAAAGACAGUAGCUGAAUAAAAGAAACAAACAUUAAAAAGAUGGAGUGCAAACUGCAUAAAAGCUGCUGACUCCAGUGUGGGAACAGAUUUUCCUCUUUUAAUGUCGUUAAAAGUAGUUUGUUCACACAUCCAGUGGUCACAGAACAUUAGUACUGAUUCUUCAGGCUCUAUAGCUGCAGGUUGCGUUCAUCACGACACGCGUUGUCAAACUGUGUACAAACUGUCACUUUGUACAAGAUUAUAUUUGCUUUGAAGAAAACAGUGAUCAUAAUAAUAAUGAGUGAGCUGUUAAUAAUCAGUUAGUCGUUACUUUGACAGAAAAGUCACCGGAACAUGAAACCAACAGGAUGAAAGGAGCUUAUGAAGAAACCCAAAGAAAGACUUCCUGUUCCAGUUUUUUCUUUUUUUAUUUCUACAAAGAAAGAAACAUCAUCUCCAUCUGUCUCACUCUGGCCCUCAGGCUGCUGAUAUAGUUUUACCCUAAACAGUGACCUUUGACCUCAGCACUUUCAGCCCAUCCGGGAUGUUUUGACCUAAACAGUCACAGUAACAUAAUCGCUGCCCUUUUUUUUUUUUUAAAUAAUGAAUCUUCACGGGCCAACCAGAGGAACUUUUACCUUGACAUUUUGUAGAAAAUAAAAAUGUGCAUUGCAACAUCUCUACCAUUGCUGUUCGCUGUCGGGUUUUUAUGCAGCUUUAGUUAUUUAUUGAGGGAAUUCAUGUCUCUCAGCCAUUCACUUUAAGUCUUAAGCCAAAAAUCUAAUUGAGUUUAUAUGAAAGAACAUCCGCCCUGCAGUCGUCAUGAAGGAGGAAAUAAGCAAUUUAAAUCAAGAAUGCAGAUUUGAUGACUUCUCAGGCCCAACGUCUACUUUUUACAUACAGUCGAUGAGUCACUUUUUGACGCAGCUGCGGUUUUUGUCACUUGAGUGUUGUUUUCAUUAUUCAGCCUCAGAAGUCAGGCAGAAGGGGAUGAAAUGUUAACGCUGUGUCACCUUCAGGAAAGGGGAAGUAACCAGAUGCAGAUGCAGGUAUAUUCAUGUUCUCACCUAAGAGCCUGUUGGAGUAAUAACAGCUGAAAUUGAAUCCUUCUUCCAGAUGACCUGUGAGCGUUACAGCAGAAGUUUUUACUCGUACCAGAAAAAAUUUGGACAUGGCCUCUUGAGAUUUGCGUUUAAAAGGCUUCAGGUGCUUCACAUCAGUUGCAGCAGGGAGUCUUUGUUCUUCAUCCCACCUUACAAUCUCUGCAUUACUCACCUCUGUGUCUGCGUGUCAGCUAAUAAAGGCUAAGCAGCUGAAGUUAGAGCGUGCCGAGGAGUGAACCGACUGUGAAUCUUCAGCCGUUCGCAGAGCAAAGGAUGCAUCGUUAAUUUUAAUGGGGAAUCCAGCUGUGGGAUGGACAGGUGAAGCUGAGACAGCUUCAGAUGGUUGUGUUGUUAUUGCCGCUCAGCCUCGGGGGGGGAAUGAACGACAACAGCAGUGCAGACGUGGUUUUACAAGCAGCCGAAGAGUUUCCACGAGAACACAACAGAUAUGACGAGGUGUGUGAAGGGUUUCAUACUCAGGUUCCUCGGGUCUGAUUGUUGGUCUGCGUUUCUGUGUGUGCGUGGAGAGUUUUCUGUUGUUUCGUCCACAUGGCUGCGUACAGACCUCCCUGGACCAGCAGCUCCUCGUGCCUGAAAAGAACAGGACGAGAACUGAGACGAGGAAA
Molecule: long non-coding RNA, 5532 nt
Filed under: Echeneis naucrates (live sharksucker)
Lineage: Eukaryota; Metazoa; Chordata; Actinopteri; Carangiformes; Echeneidae
Description: lncRNA (ENSENLG00000020905.1)
Source: RNAcentral